This 415-nucleotide ribosomal RNA is filed under the name uncultured prokaryote. RNAcentral describes it as "bacterial SSU rRNA". It matches the Rfam family "Bacterial small subunit ribosomal RNA", at positions 505 to 918 of the family's 1533-position model. The record is from RNAcentral.
GUGUCAGCCGCCGCGGUAAUACGGAAGGUGCUAACGUUAUCCGGAUUUACUGGGCGUAAAGCGUGCGUAGGCGGCUGUGUAAGCCAGUCGUGAAAUUUCUCGACUCAAUCGGGAAAAGCCGAUUGGAACUGCACAGCUAGAGUGCGGGAGAGGUGAGUGGAAUUCCCGGUGUAGCGGUGAAAUGCGUAGAUAUCGGGAAGAACACCAGUGGCGAAGGCGGCUCACUGGACCGCAACUGACGCUGAGGCACGAAAGCGUGGGGAGCGAACGGGAUUAGAUACCCCGGUAGUCCACGCUGUAAACGAUGAGUGCUAGGUGUGGGGGAUGAAGAAUUCCUCCGUGCCGCAGCUAACGCAUUAAGCACUCCGCCUGGGGAGUACGGCCGCAAGGUUAAAACUUAAAGGAAUUGGCGGGG